GCUGGGCAUGGUGGCACACGCCUGUAAUCCCAGCAGCUCUGGAGGCUGAGGCAGGAGAAUCUCAGGUUCAAAGUCAGCCUCAGCAACUUGGCAAGGCUGUAAGCAACCUAGUGAGACCCUGUCUCAA
RNAcentral lists this small RNA (127 nucleotides) under Marmota monax (woodchuck). Lineage: Eukaryota; Metazoa; Chordata; Mammalia; Rodentia; Sciuridae. The record is from RNAcentral.